Dunckerocampus dactyliophorus (ringed pipefish) is the source of this 1859-nucleotide long non-coding RNA. RefSeq lists it as uncharacterized. The record is from RefSeq and is a predicted model, not a curated record. The transcript is spliced from 4 exons. NCBI's taxonomy places the organism in Eukaryota, Metazoa, Chordata, Actinopteri, Syngnathiformes, Syngnathidae.
ACAUGUCCACCAUGCCACAGCGAGACUCUUUAACGUCGACAAAGUACGAAAACCAGCAUUACUGCUUGAUAUUUAACACGGAGACGACGUGUCCCAGUAUGGAGCUGGUCCCGUUAUUCCGCUUUCUUCGCCUGUUACGCCAUUGUUUCAUUGUAUCGGUCGUCUCUCUCUCUUUCUCUCGCUCACACAUUGAUACACGCACACACACGCUAGUCGUCCAUUCAUGUCCUUGCUCUAUUCAUAACCUUACUUUAACCACCAGCAGCCUACACCUUGACCUAAAACCAUCUUCUUCCCAUCCUUACUUAAAAGACUGACUGUCGUGAAAUAUUUGUAUGACAUAACGUAUACCUGGCGUACAUACAAAGACUGAGUGGCACAGCUAACCUUUAAUGAGCUAAUUAUAUUAGGGAAGCUUAACUUAAUCCAAUUGGACUUUAUAGUCACUACAGCUAUACGUGAAUGUGUCAACAUUCAUCUAUUCAUCCAUCCACCCAUGCAUUAUGCACGAUCCAUUCAUGGAUUCAUACAUCUAUUCAUGCAUCAACCCUCAUGCUUUUGUCUAUCCAUCAUCCCUCUCAUCCUUCUCUCAGUCAUUCAUUCAUUCAACUAUUCACCCAUCUGGAUUUAUUGCGUAUUCAUCCAGUCAUACGUCAUACCUUCAUACUAUUCAACUAACCAUGAAUUUAUUCAUCCAUUCAUACAAUAAUCCAUUCUUCCAAUCAAUUAUUUAACAUGACAUCCGCCCAUUCAUACUUUCAUUAAACUAGCAACUAAUUAAUUUCUUUAUUCAUUCAUUCAGUUAUUUAACUGUAGAUUCAUCCAGUCAUACAUGCAUUCAACUAACCAUUCAGCCAUUCAUUCAACCAUCCAUUCAAUUAUGCAAGUACAAAGCCGUCCAUUUAUACUUUAAUUCAACUAGACAUCCAUCAAUCAAUUCAUUCAUCCAUCAUCCAUUUAUGACUCUAUCUUUCCGUAAUUAAACUAUGCAUCCAUCUAUCCAUUCAUCCAUUCGUUCAAUUAUGUGACUGUUCAUCCAUCCAUCCAUCCAGCCAUUUGUUCAUUCAUCCAUUCGAUUUCCACAUAUAUAUACAUUCAUUCUUUUCAUUAACUUGGCCAUUCAAUUAUUCAACUACACAUUUAUCCACUCAUACAUUCAUUCAAAUAACCAUCCAUCUAUUCCAUCCUCCAUCAAUCCAGUCAUUCAUUCAUUCAUCCGUUCGCUAUGUGUGUAUAUGUAUAUUCUUUCACAGUGUUUACAUGCACGGAUGAAGACGCUGCAUGACGCCAGAGUCUCGCAUCGGAGCAGUCUUCAUCCGCUGUGGAACACACACAACAAUGAAUGGACAGGCGACAGCGUGCAGUGAUACGACGGGAGAGAAAGUAACGGCGAGCGAUUGUGAGGUCUGAUUUUUUCAAGGAGGCAUUUUUGUGAUGCAUAUGUAUUACUCUUUCGAACGCAUAUUGUUUUGAGAAGCCAAUCUUCUUACUUAAGUGGCACCACCAACUAACCGGAACUACGUUCCUCAUCACCGAAAUCCGACCAGAACUCGGCUCACGGGAAUAAGCUCACGGCUGCAAACUAACCCAAAAUGGAGCCAAAGAAAGUUGCAAGUGCCAGCAUUUGAUGAAUAAGACAGAGCACGUCUGUGGAUGGAGAGAUGUUAUCGUUUGAAAGCAGCGGCCACAGCCGAUGAGUGAUCUGCCACGUGGUGUGAUUGAUGAAGGAAGGGCUGAUGAACACUUGACGAGAUGAAAGAGCAUGGUGGUAAUGCUGGCGACGACCCCAAGAUGCCCCCAGACCCCAAGAAGGACCCGGCUGAACUAAAUAGAACCCAAUCAACAAUCAGUACCAGGUG